UGGCUCAGAUUGAACGCUGGCGGAAUGCUUUACACAUGCAAGUCGAGCGGCAGCGCGGGGCAACCUGGCGGCGAGCGGCGAACGGGUGAGUAAUGCAUCGGAACGUACCCAUUUGUGGGGGAUAACUAUCCGAAAGGAUAGCUAAUACCGCAUAAGUCCUGAGGGAGAAAGCAGGGGAUCGCAAGACCUUGCGCGAAUGGAGCGGCCGAUGCCGGAUUAGCUAGUUGGUAGGGUAAAGGCCUACCAAGGCGACGAUCCGUAGCUGGUCUGAGAGGAUGAUCAGCCACACUGGAACUGAGACACGGUCCAGACUCCUACGGGAGGCAGCAGUGGGGAAUUUUGGACAAUGGGCGCAAGCCUGAUCCAGCCAUUCCGCGUGAGUGAAGAAGGCCUUCGGGUUGUAAAGCUCUUUCGGCAGGAACGAAACGGUCUGGGUUAAUACCC
RNAcentral lists this ribosomal RNA (444 nucleotides) under bacterium Fw70-71. RNAcentral's name for it is "bacterial SSU rRNA". It matches the Rfam family "Bacterial small subunit ribosomal RNA", at positions 20 to 468 of the family's 1533-position model. The record is from RNAcentral.